UUUAAGGUUAUCAUCAAUUGAGCUUUCACUCGAGUGGUCUUCUUUUGUUCUAAGUGGCAAAACCUUCUUGUUCUUUGGAAGGUUAUUCUUAAGUUCAUCAUAUAAUCACCGAUAAUUUCUCCCUUAACAUAUAAUUAAUUACUAUUGUUAGGAUCGGAGCGGCACUAAGAGGGGGGGUGAAUUAGUGCAGCGGAUUAAAACGUU
RNAcentral lists this long non-coding RNA (204 nucleotides) under Musa acuminata (dwarf banana). RNAcentral describes it as "long non-coding RNA (MACU_LNC009039)". Lineage: Eukaryota; Viridiplantae; Streptophyta; Magnoliopsida; Zingiberales; Musaceae. The record is from RNAcentral.